Molecule: unclassified non-coding RNA, 363 nt
Filed under: uncultured bacterium
Lineage: Bacteria
Description: contains 16S-23S intergenic spacer region
Source: RNAcentral
UCCCUGUUGCCAAGGCAGUCUCCUAUGACACUUGUAACAUAGGACGAGGGUUGCGCUCGUUACCCGACUUAACGGAACAUCUCAAGACACGAGCUGACGGCAACCAUGCAGCACCUGUUCUGCUGUCUUAAUAGAAAGCCUCUGUUUCUAGAGGCGGUCAACAGAAUGUCAAGCCUAGGUGAGGUUCCUCGCUUAUCGUCGAAUUAAACCAGACGCUCCACCGCUUGUGCGAGUCCCCGUCUAUUCCUUUGAGUUUUAAGCUUGCGCUCGUACUUCCCAGGCGGAACACUUAAUGCGUUAGCUUCGUCACGUGGAGGGUCGAUACUCCACAUGACUAGUGUUCAGCGUUUACGGUGUGGACUA